Molecule: long non-coding RNA, 509 nt
Organism: Sinocyclocheilus grahami
Lineage: Eukaryota; Metazoa; Chordata; Actinopteri; Cypriniformes; Cyprinidae
Exons: 3
Source: RefSeq, a predicted model, not a curated record
UAUUGGCCAGUAAAAUAGGUAACGAAUGACAUUUCUGGACGCAUUUAUAUAGUGGCAAUAAGUAUACUGAUGUUAUGCACAGUGAUUCAUUGUGUCUGGAUCUUAUUUGCAUCAUCCUGCGAUGUUUAUCGGUCACAAGCAGCACCACGCGACACCACAAGAGGGCAAUAUAUACAUGAUACAGUUGUGCACGUUGCCCCUAAAAUCAGUCCAGGUGAUCUUUCACUAAUUACGUUGUUAUGCAUUAAAAGUGAACUGAAUAUGUAAAUAUAUCACAUGAUUUCAAUCACUCAUAAUCACUGAGAACAUAAAUGUUCUGAAAUGAAAGAUGUGUAUAGCCAACAUUCAAACUUUUGUACAGUUUGACAAGUUGACUUCCUCCACACUGAAAGAAAGAGGACACAUGCUUCAAUUAUUGCUUAUGGUUUCACUGAAGUGUUUUAGACAGUAAACACAGAUCAAUACAGGGAGACAAAUGCAAACUUCAGAUCUUGUGGUUUCGGGUGAAA